AUUGAACGCUGGCGGCAUGCCUUACACAUGCAAGUCGAACGGCAGCACGGGAGCAAUCCUGGUGGCGAGUGGCGAACGGGUGAGUAAAGUAUCGGAACGUGCCCAGUCGUGGGGGAUAACGUAGCGAAAGUUACGCUAAUACCGCAUACGAUCUAUGGAUGAAAGCGGGGGAUCGCAAGACCUCGCGCGAUUGGAGCGGCCGAUAUCAGAUUAGGUAGUUGGUGGGGUAAAGGCUCACCAAGCCGACGAUCUGUAGCUGGUCUGAGAGGACGACCAGCCACACUGGGACGGAGACACGGCACAGACUCCUACGGGAGGCAGCAGUGGGGAAUUUUGGACAAUGGGCGAAAGCCUGAUCCAGCCAUGCCGCGUGCAGGAUGAAGGCCUUCGGGUUGUAAACUGCUUUUGUACGGAACGAAAAGGUUUGGCCUAAUAAGCUGAGCUCAUGACGGUACCGUAAGAAUAAGCACCGGCUAACUACGUGCCAGCAGCCGCCGUAA
RNAcentral lists this ribosomal RNA (500 nucleotides) under uncultured bacterium. RNAcentral's name for it is "partial 16S ribosomal RNA". It matches the Rfam family "Bacterial small subunit ribosomal RNA", at positions 30 to 523 of the family's 1533-position model. The record is from RNAcentral.